RNAcentral lists this ribosomal RNA (218 nucleotides) under Lactobacillus delbrueckii subsp. bulgaricus. Its description in RNAcentral is "partial 16S ribosomal RNA". It matches the Rfam family "Bacterial small subunit ribosomal RNA", at positions 13 to 213 of the family's 1533-position model. The record is from RNAcentral. Lineage: Bacteria; Bacillati; Bacillota; Bacilli; Lactobacillales; Lactobacillaceae.
UUGAUCCUGGCUCAGGACGAACGCUGGCGGCGUGCCUAAUACAUGCAAGUCGAGCGAGCUGAAUUCAAAGAUCCCUUCGGGGUGAUUUGUUGGACGCUAGCGGCGGAUGGGUGAGUAACACGUGGGCAAUCUGCCCUAAAGACUGGGAUACCACUUGGAAACAGGUGCUAAUACCGGAUAACAACAUGAAUCGCAUGAUUCAAGUUUGAAAGGCGGCG